This 253-nucleotide ribosomal RNA is filed under the name uncultured bacterium. RNAcentral's name for it is "partial 16S ribosomal RNA". It matches the Rfam family "Bacterial small subunit ribosomal RNA", at positions 524 to 776 of the family's 1533-position model. The record is from RNAcentral.
UACGUAGGGUGCAAGCGUUAAUCGGAAUUACUGGGCGUAAAGCGUGCGCAGGCGGUUAUGUAAGACAGGUGUGAAAUCCCCGGGCUUAACCUGGGAACUGCAUUUGUGACUGCAUAGCUAGAGUACGGCAGAGGGGGAUGGAAUUCCGCGUGUAGCAGUGAAAUGCGUAGAUAUGUGGAGGAACACCGAUGGCGAAGGCAGCCCCCUGGGUUAACACUGACGCUCAGGCACGAAAGCGUGGGGAGCAAACAGG